This 1893-nucleotide long non-coding RNA is filed under the name Equus caballus (horse). Its description in RNAcentral is "lncRNA (ENSECAG00000051665.1)". The record is from RNAcentral. Lineage: Eukaryota; Metazoa; Chordata; Mammalia; Perissodactyla; Equidae.
AGGGAAAUCCAACACACAAGGCAGAGGAAUGUUAUUUCAUACAGACAAAGGAGGAACUUGGGUGCGGUUAUUUUAAACCAAAGUCCAUUGGAGAAAAGCAAGAGUUCAGGGUGGUGAUGGUUUCUCACAGGCUGAGUUUCUGGGGUAGUCAUUUUCUGUUUGGGAUGCAUUGUACAUUUCUUCCUGUAAUUAAUGAUUCUUUCCUGUUGACAACUUCUUUGUGUUGGGGUCUGUAACUGACCAUCUUUCCUCUAAUUGACCUCAAGUGGUACGGUGUGGGAGCUCCCACUUUUGGCUUCCUGACUCCACUUUAGAUGAGGUUUCCCUUUACUAAUUUUCAUAGUGGCAUGACUUUGUUCUCUGCUCAGUGUUUCACCAGGUGAAAUCAUGUGUUUGGCCAGGCUGUGUUUCUUUGUGUAGGCACUGAGGAAGAAUCCACUUCCAAGCCCACUGAAGUUAUUGGCAGAAUUCAGUCCCACUCUGAGCUCCUAGAGGCCACCCAUAGUUCCUUACCACAUGGACCAUGCUGUACAUCCUCUCAUGCUUGAGUCUCUCAGAAGAGGCCUAGGCCGUUUUAAGGGCUCACCUUCUUAGGCCUGGCCCACCCAAGAUAACCUCCUUAUUUGAAGGUCCACUGAUAUGGGACCUUAAUACAUCUGCAAAAUCUCUUUCCCUUUUAAUGUAACAUAAUCACACGAGUGAUGUCGCAUCAAAUUUACGGGCUCCUCUCACACUCAGUGGGAGAGGAUUAUGCAAGGGCAAGGGUCAUUAGUGGUCAUCUUAGAAUUCUGCCUACUAGUCUGCCCUGUGGCUCCCGGUGGUCCAAUCUGUCCCACACACAAAACUCAUUCACCACAUUCGACAGUCUCCAAAUGUCUCAUGGUAUUAUGGCAUCAGCUCAAUUCCAAAAGCUCAUCGGAAUCGCAUCAGCUCAAAGUCGAAAAUCGCAUCACCUCAACCAUCUAAAUCAGAAAUAUUGUUUUACUGGAUUCACGGUGCUACUCCAGACCCUGCUAUGGCUCUUAGUGAAGUGUGGUAUAUGAAUUCUGAAACAUCCGGUCCCAAGAGUUUCAGCCCCAACAUAUAGAGAGGGCAGAGAUCACCAAUCCCAUCCUUAAAACAAGAAAACGCUGGAAAAACUGAAUCCACCUAUAUUUUAGACUCCUCACAGAACUGAGCUGGCAGGGCAAACCACCACGUAAACUCUGGCGCAAGAGUGGAAUCCAGAGUGUCAAAACCGAGAUCUGCCUCCCUGAAUCAGAAUCCUCUGUAGUCAUAAUCUGGUAAGAACAUUUAAAUGGGAAUCUCCUCCUGGACAUGCAGACAGAGACCUGCAUCGAGGCAGGUCUGAGAUCCCCUGACACGGAUGUGAGACAGAGAAGUGGCUGGCAGGUGGAUACUGGCAGUGGGUAUGAGGCAAACUGCCUUUCCAAAACCAGACUGGACGUCUGAAGAAGACCCUGAGUGGCCUGGAACCAAAUCUGCAAUAUCUCUGAAGUAUGCCUGUAUGUAAAAAUGAUUAUACACCAUGUCAAUCUGGAAUAAUCCGAAGAAUGCAAGGUUGUUUAAACAUCAAAAAUUCAAUAUAAUAUACCACAUCAGUAGGAUACAGGACAAAAACAACAUAAUAACCUCAAUAGAGAUAGUAUUUGACAAUAUUCAACACCCAUUUCUGACGUCAGUCAACAAGCUAAAAAAGUCAGUCAACAAACUAACAAUGUAAAAGCACUUCUUCAAACUGAAAAGGCUCCUAAGGAAGACCCAGAGCUAACAUCAUGCUUAAUAGAGGAAGAUGGAACGAUUUCUCCCAAUGCUCAGGAGUAAGACAGAGAUAUCUCUUGUCACCAAUUCUAUUCAACAUUGUAGUGGAGGUUGUAGUCAGGUAAAUUAGGG